RNAcentral lists this ribosomal RNA (512 nucleotides) under uncultured bacterium. RNAcentral's name for it is "partial 16S ribosomal RNA". It matches the Rfam family "Bacterial small subunit ribosomal RNA", at positions 28 to 523 of the family's 1533-position model. The record is from RNAcentral.
GACGAACGCUGGCGGCGUGCCUAAUACAUGCAAGUCGAGCGGAACUGGGGGAGCUUGCUCCUUCCAGUUUAGCGGCGGACGGGUGAGUAACACGUGGGCAACCUGCCCUGCAGAUCGGGAUAACUCCGGGAAACCGGUGCUAAUACCGAAUAGUUUGGCGCCUCUCCUGAGGCGCUACGGAAAGACGGUUUCGGCUGUCACUGCAGGAUGGGCCCACGGCGCAUUAGCUAGUUGGUGGGGUAACGGCCCACCAAGGCGACGAUGCGUAGCCGACCUGAUGGGGUGACCGGCCACACUGGGACUGAGACACGGCCCAGACUCCUACGGGAGGCAGCAGUAGGGAAUCUUCCGCAAUGGACGCAAGUCUGACGGAGCAACGCCGCGUGAGUGACGAAGGUUUUCGGAUCGUAAAACUCUGUUGUGAGGGAAGAACACGUACCAACUAACUAUUGGUACCUUGACGGUACCUCACCAGAAAGCCACGGCUAACUACGUGCCAGCCGCCGCAGUAA